Molecule: long non-coding RNA, 788 nt
Organism: Bos taurus (domestic cattle)
Lineage: Eukaryota; Metazoa; Chordata; Mammalia; Artiodactyla; Bovidae
Source: Ensembl
GACCCCGGGUGGACCUCAGAGAGCCUCCCGCUCCGGCCGCUCUCCUGGCCAGGACACGGCCUGUUCCCAGAACACCGCCUGCCCCAGAGGCCAUUCACCCUGGGCGGUCAGGCUCAAGGGCAGGGGCCCAGCCCAGGAGCCAGGGGUGAGGACUGAAAGGUGCCAGCUGGAAGGCCCCGCGUGCCCACUAGGGCUGCCGGAGGGGGACGCCAAGGGUGCUCAGGGACACGGGCCUGCAGAUUCCAAGGCACCUUCUCCCAACCUGCUGACUCAGACUCAGCGGGAAAGAAGGCCAUGUGAUAACCAGCAGACCAGGGAACUCAGAGAUCAAGUCUGGAAGUCAUCUGGUUCCCCGAGGCACCGUUGAACUGCCUGGGCAGGCCCUAGGCCUGAGAUGCUGAGGCCUCCAGGUUCCAGGGCAGAAGAGACAGAAGAGGAGACAGAAGACGCAGAGGCAGAGAGACCUGAGACCGCAGAAGGGGCACAGAAGAGGGACGUGGCCACAAGCUAAGCAACCCCUGUGACACCAGAGGCUGGGAGAGAUGAGGCAGGAUGCUCACCUGGAGCCUUCGGAGGGAGCACAACCCUGCUGACACCUUGAUUUCGGACUUCUGGCCUCCACAACCAUGGAGAAUCAAUUUCCACUGAUAAAAGCUGCGCAAUUUGCGGUAGUUUGUUCCGACAGUCCCAGAAAACCAAUACAGGGAUUGUCCAAAGACAGCCCAUUGCAUGCCCUCAAGACCAACCUUUCUAUUUAAUAACCCAGUGUUUUUGUUCCCAUUUCAGAG